GCGUGGAUAUCCACAUCGCCGUUCCUUCUCCAGCAGCGCUCUCCUUCUCCGCUCUUCUCUCUAUCCAUCCAGCGCUGCUCUCCUCCUCUUCUCUAUCCGUGCGACACACGCCGCCCACGGCGCUGCGUUCCCCGUUCCCCUCUCUCUUCUCCUCCCUCCUCCACAACUAACCAAGCACGACGAGCGACUGUGCAAGAGUCUUUUCACCAAAGCACCAACACCCUUUCCUUGACCGUGGCGCCUGGAUCGAGCACGGAUCCGACCCCCAAUCUGCAGCAGCUUUCUUCUGCAGCAUCUUGACGAUCCGAUUUCUCCGGCAGUCUCGCCUGCGACCGAUGCUUCACGUCUGCGUAUGGGCUUGUGGUGGCCGGGCCUGAGCGCGCGGGAGCUGGUUGGGCUCUCCGCGUUGAUCUGCACCAGGGCUCUCCGGGCUCCGGAUCGGCGUGGUCGUGGCCAGCCCUCCGACGAUGCCCUGCUGCGGGGGUUCGGGACCAGAUCUCGCCGGUGGGCGCGGGAGCUCGGCUUGAGGUUGUGGUGGCUGCCUCGGUAAGGGAAGGGGAGGUCAGAUGGCAUGCCAAACAGAUGCGUUGGCUCUUUGGCGAGGAGCAGGCUGCAUGCAUGCGUGAUCGAACUCAAGCUUGCAGCACGGCUCUUUUACCCUUCCUCACCCGAAGCGCGCGGUCUUCUUUGGUGGUUUCUAGAAGCAGUACACGAUCUUGCAUCAUGGCAUUUUCAUUUUAAAUUUUGCUUCAUCUCAACAUGCGAACACUAAAAGUAGCUUAAUGAAAUGGAUACAUCAUAAUCAAGCUUAAUUCCAAGAGCCCAGAUUACACAGUUUGUCUCCGCUCUACAUGCAUUUGGAUGUAGAAAUUGGAACCGCUGAACCCCACACCUAUUUGUGUUGUUUUAUGCUUUCGAGUAAAAUGCACCUGUGGUCAUUAUAUUUUACAGGCGGCAUCAUUUUAGUUAGUUACUUUGUAUUGAAAUCGACACCCUAAACUUUGCAAGAAGGGUGGCGACAAUGGGGAGGUGCAAGUGCUUCCAUGAUAGAGUUGUCUAGGUGGCAAACAUCAGCUCGGGUGUGUCUCUUAACUCUGUCGUUAGAUUUUUCUGAAGUCUUAGUGAACCGUUGGGUUUUCAUUGA
Triticum aestivum (bread wheat) is the source of this 1144-nucleotide long non-coding RNA. RefSeq lists it as uncharacterized. The transcript is spliced from 2 exons. NCBI's taxonomy places the organism in Eukaryota, Viridiplantae, Streptophyta, Magnoliopsida, Poales, Poaceae. The record is from RefSeq and is a predicted model, not a curated record.